Molecule: long non-coding RNA, 1847 nt
Organism: Oreochromis aureus
Lineage: Eukaryota; Metazoa; Chordata; Actinopteri; Cichliformes; Cichlidae
Source: Ensembl
UGUUGAAAGAUUUUAUGUUUUAUAUGUUUUUAUUCGUUGUUUUAUUAUCUUUCAUUAACAAGCAUAUCAUGAAGUGUUCAUAUAUUUCAUAAGAUUUGCUGAACUUUUCCACUGUUGUGCAAGCUGACAGUUAACUCUACAACAUAAAUAAGUUAAACCGGAAACAGAUGCAGCACCCAAACCACAAGAGUUCAAAAGUGCACCACGUUUCCUAAAAAGAAGUAGCCAGACACACAUGUGACUCACACACUCCCACACACACAACCAUUGGAUUAGAGGAACUUCUAAAAGAGGAAAUGUGAUGUACUUGCAUACGCGAUGUAACCUAUAAAUAAAGAACUGUGCCUGCACUCAGGGUGUGGGUCUCGCCAGAGUCCUCACCCGUGCGCGGGGUCUCGCCAGAGGCCUCACGCAUGCACGUUGCUGUUAUUAUAUUCUAACUGUCUGAGUGUCUUUAUUCAACCUGAAGAAUGUCUUAUUAAAAAUAAACUCUUGACAUUUAAUUGGUCCUUCGAGUCCGGAUGUAGGACAUCGAAUUAUAACUAAUUUUAUGCUCCAACGGAGUGACCUCGUCGUUUCCUGACAUCGUGGAGAGCCCGCGCUGAAGUCUGUCGACAGCCUCUUUCCUAUGAAGGAGAAAAAGACCAACUGCGUGAAUUCGGGGUUGGCCAGCGUUCUUAGUAAGAGGUCCACGAUCCUGGGGAACGAGGAGGAAUCUCUGACCGGCACUUAUAUCAUCAUAACCAGGUGAAUAUUAACACUCAAAGACACAUCGCGAAUAAUCGUCUUUUAGAUUGACACUUUUCUAAGGGAAAAACUCGUCCUGUAGGGACUGGCAGUUUAAAAAAAGACUCGCUUAGUAAGACGAAACUGGCAGUCCAGAAGAGACUCGUUUCGCAAUAAAAAAAAGCUGGUAGUCUAAAAGACUCGCUUGUAAGACGAAACUGGCAGUCCAGAGGUGACUCGUUUCGCAGCAAAAAAAAGCUGGUAGUCUAAGAGACUCGCUUGUAAGACGAAACUGGCAGUCCAGAGGUGACUCGUUUCGCAAUAAAAAAAGCUGGUAGUCGACAAAUUUACUCCGGGAGUAAAUGGGAAAAGGAAAGUGUCAAUUAAAAUAGGAUUACACUGCCGCGUAUGUGAAUUGUUUGUAUUUAAAAAGAGGAAGUGAGUGUCAUUUGAAGAGGGACAGUAGGACCCUACACCACUUCUAUUGUUUUCCUGUGUCGACUGAAAUACUGGUGAGGAAGGGAAAAGGUUGCGCUUCAUCGCAUAAAAUUAAGGCCGCCCUUGACAUUAGGACAAGGGUAGAAGGCUGCCUUAAUAACCUCCCCUAACUCUAAUACCAGAGAAGGUCACACAGUUCUGUUUGUAGUAUUAAUAACACAAAAUCAAAAUGGGAAAUAAAACAACAAAACUCACUGCUGACGAGCAGUGGCUAGAAAAGAAAUGUCCAGGCGCCGGACAAAUUAGUGCAUAUAGAUGGAGAAAUCCAAAGAAAACUAAAUGUCCCACGUGGGAGGGAAAAUGCAUUAACUAAAUUAUAAGAAACCCUCCAAGCAGAAAUAAAUACUGAAAAGGAAGCUAAAAAGAAAUCAGAACAUACACAAGAGUUGUAAUAUUUUAAAGCAUGGAAAGAGGAAUGAAGUGGAAUAAACAAAAGGUUAAAUUAAGGUUAACUUAAAUUAAAGCAAUGAAACAAAAUUGGGAAGACAGCCAAGCUGAAUGAAUAGAAUGCGUGAAACCAGAUAAUCCACACAAAAUAUAUCAAAUAAAAAAGAGAGAUGCAUAAGGCAUAUUAAGGCUGCGUCAUUGUUCAGCCAAGGAAAAUGUCUCCAGCUUGGGAAGGU